RNAcentral lists this small RNA (2182 nucleotides) under Pongo abelii (Sumatran orangutan). RNAcentral describes it as "processed transcript". The record is from RNAcentral. Lineage: Eukaryota; Metazoa; Chordata; Mammalia; Primates; Hominidae.
AGCCUCCCGCCCCUCCCCGCCCCGCCUCCCGCCCCAACCUAGUGCCCGACAGGAAACUUCCCACCUGGCGCUGCCCCCAACCAAAGUCAUGAGGGCAAGGCUCCGGUUCCUGCCCUCACAGGGUCCCAGAAGCAAGGGCAGUGAGGACCUGUCCGUCUCUGGCACGGGGUGUCUGAUUCUCCUUCGCUGUGGCGGGAAGCUGGCCGGAUUUGAAGGUGCUAUGGGGCCGCAGCAGCAUAAACAGCCUCUCUCAGCCGCUGCAGCAGCUCUUUGGGCUGUGGUGAGAAUGCGCUGGUGUCCACUCUCUGGAAGUCGGGGUGCACAACCAAGGAGGCCAGCACCUCUGUGAUGCGCCCGGCAUCAAAGGCUGCCUGUUCGAAACCCAACCCAGCACCGUCCUCAGCGGCUGCCUCCCUCAGGACCAGGAGCCUCUUCUCAGCGAUGACCUUGAGGAAGUGGUAAAACUCUUCAAAGUUGAUGCCCGAGCAGGACCUCAUGAUGACCUGGGCAGAGGGAAGAGGCCAGUGAGCUGACACCAUGGACACAGUCCAAGCUGCAAAGGACCCGACAUGCACCCAGUCCCCAAGGACGAAGAGGGGACCAAUAAGACAGAGGCACUGAGAAGCUGGGCAGUGACCAAGGGAGUCUGAGCCAUGCAGCCUGCAGGCCUCCCAGGGACCUGGCAUCGAUAGCCUCCACGCGCAGCCACCCCACCUGGCAGUGGUGGUGCCAGUCAGGCAUGGAGUCCCUCCACUCGCUGACCUCCUCCUGCACAGCGCAUAGCUCCUGCUGCAAGAAGCGCCACAUGUUGGCCAGGUUGAAGCCAUUGAUCCAGUUGUGGUUGAUGGAGAUGGUGUCAUCCUGGAAGGGGCACAGUGCAGGCAGGCCUGAGCCCAUGGCAGGUGCCCCCCAACAACCCACAUCUCCUGCGCCAGGAACCCACUGUGGGGUCCAGCCCUCUGCAGCCAAGAGGGCCCUCCUGUCUCCCAGCAGGGCUUGCUCAGCAGGGAAGUGGGUGGCGGGCUCGGACCACCUCAGGCCACAAUGAACCCAGAGCAAGUAGACCCAGGGACCGGCAGUGGGUGAAACAGAGGCUAGGCCUCAGCGACACCACCUUGUGAAGGGGUCAGCCUCACCCAUGAGCCACCCCAUUCCAGCCCCGCUCUCGCUGGGAGAGUGGGGAGGUGGUGCUGCCGUCUUCCUGCAGGAAGGCCCCUGAUAGGGGGCAGGAGAGCAGCACAUUACCAGGUUGUGCACCUGGUGGUGCCAGCCACUGGGCACAAACACCAUCUCGCCCGCCUCCUGCGUGAUCUCCAAGGGUGGGCCAGCAAGCUGGCUCUGCGGGUGCAGGUGUGUGUCGCAGAGUGCUGGGGAGGUGACGUCGUAGGGCAGGUUGCCGUGGCGGUCCCGCAGGGCCUCUUCCUGCCCUGGGGGGAAGAGGAGCCACUUCUUCCUCCCACAGACAUUGACAGACCAGCUGAAGGAGCGGAAGAUGUCAGCAUGGAACGGGGACCUGCAGCAGCAAGAGCGCCUGGUUCAUGCCUGUAGGGGCUGGUAUGGGCUUUGCUUGGCACCCCAGAGGCCUGGUCCAACUGAAGGAGGGGUGGCCCCUUGGUCUCAAGGGAUGGCACCCACUGUGAGGCCUGUGCCAAGCAGCCCCCCUCCUGCCACCCUGAGCCUCCUAGUCCGCUCUGUCACCAGGCCCCUUCGGAUUCCACUCCCACAUCCAUGGCCUCACCAGCUGCCCGCAGGCCCCGCGUAGACAAAGCGGUAGUCAUCCACAUCCAGUGCAUCCCAGAACUCAUUCAGCCAGUCGGAGGAGAAGUACACAGGCAGGGUGAAAACGUCCUCCAUCGGGAAGUCCCUGUGAGGAGGGUGCAAGGGCACCACCGACAGCACGUGAGGCACGAGGAGACUAGGGCAGCACGAGUGGGGCAACUGAGACCAAUCGGCUCCAGUGGAGCUUCCAGAUGGCUGCAGCCCCCAAAGAGCCCCAGAGCCUCCUCUGAGCCAGAUGCUGCUGGUGGGGGAGGCGGGGGCAGUCUGACUACAAUGGUUCUGCUUAUGAGAAAGUACUGAUCAUGCCUAUAAUCCCAGUGCUUUGAGAUGCUGAGGUGGAUGCAUCACCUGAGCUCAGGAGUUCAAGACCAGCCUGGGCAACAUGGUGAAACCUAGUCUCUUA